This is a long non-coding RNA of Haliotis rubra (blacklip abalone), 190 nucleotides long. RefSeq lists it as uncharacterized. The record is from RefSeq and is a predicted model, not a curated record. NCBI's taxonomy places the organism in Eukaryota, Metazoa, Mollusca, Gastropoda, Lepetellida, Haliotidae. The transcript is spliced from 4 exons.
CAUGGUGUGUUGCUGCAACACAUUGCAAAUGUUGUCCAUAGGCCACUAUCAAUGACGUCACAUCGCCUGACACGUGCAUGUGCGUUUGACUGUCUGCAAUACUUGCUAUGUUCACACCUGUAUUUAUGUAUAAAGACGCUGUGUGCCUAUAUCUACAUUUUCUGUGUGCACAGUUUCUUUAUGUGGCCAG